GUAUGAAAGGCCACACAAGGGCUUACUUGUCUUUUAUUUUCAAUCUGUCAAAUUGACCUUCCCUAGCAGAGGCGGGAAGGAGACACUUAGAUGAGAAGAGCAGACGGUACUUUGAUUCAAUGACCCAAAGAGAUUUUGAUAAUCAACAGCCAGCGAUCACAUACCUUUACCAAGGGCAGACAAUUUAGGUUGGGGUGACCUCGGAGAAUAAAACAACCUCCGAGUGAUUUAAAUCUAGACCAACUAGUGGAAAGUACUACAUCACUCAUUGAUCCAAAAACUUGAUCAACGGAACAAGUUACCCUAGGGAUAACAGCGCAAUCCUAUUUUAGAGUCCAUAUCGACAAUAGGGUUUACGACCUCCAUGUUGGA
RNAcentral lists this ribosomal RNA (372 nucleotides) under Panthera onca (jaguar). RNAcentral's name for it is "partial large subunit ribosomal RNA". It matches the Rfam family "Bacterial large subunit ribosomal RNA", at positions 1990 to 2536 of the family's 2925-position model. Lineage: Eukaryota; Metazoa; Chordata; Mammalia; Carnivora; Felidae. The record is from RNAcentral.